RNAcentral lists this ribosomal RNA (253 nucleotides) under uncultured bacterium. Its description in RNAcentral is "partial 16S ribosomal RNA". It matches the Rfam family "Bacterial small subunit ribosomal RNA", at positions 524 to 776 of the family's 1533-position model. The record is from RNAcentral.
UACGAGAGGUGCAAGCGUUAUUCGGAAUCAUUGGGCGUAAAGGGUGUGUAGACGGUGUGUUAAGUCUGUAGUUAAAUUCUCCGGCCUAACUGGAGAUCUGCGGCGGAAACUGGCGCACUAGAGGGUGGAAGAGAGAAGUGGAAUUCUCGGAGUAGCGGUAAAAUGCGUGGAUCUCGAGAGGAACACCAAUGGCGAAGGCAGCUUCUUGGUCCAUACCUGACGUUGAGGCACGAAAGCGUGGGGAGCAAACAGG